AUGUGUCCGGCGUGGGGCAACCCCAAAGGGUUGUUGUUCCAUCUUGCUGGCGAUAACAUCUUCGUUGCUGAGUUUGGUACCCAGGCAGACAGGGCCAGGGUGAUCGAGGGCUCGCCAUGGAUGGUGGGCAAACAUGUUCUUCUUCUUAAGGUAUUUAAUCUGAAUAUCCAGCCUAUCCAAGUUUGGUUUGAUCGUCUGGCCAUUUGGGCCCGCAUCAUGAAUCUGCCGCCAAGACUGAUGAAGGCUAAGCUCGGGAUGGAGUUUGCUAAACCCCUUGGUCGCAUUUCAAAGGUUGAGGCCGACGCUGAUGGCCGCUGCUGGGGUGGAUUCAUGCGUGUUAGAGUGGAAAUCGCUAUAAAUGAGUCGAUCGUUCGCUAUGUGAUGGUGACUUCUACCAGGCUCUAAUCUACUAACACCUACUCUGUGAUGUAUGAGCGGCUGCCGUUCCACUGCUUUUCUUGUGGCCUGCUAGGGCACUCGUCGGUCUUAUGCCCAAACCCGGGCACUAGAGAUGGGGAGGGUGAUCUUCCUUAUGCUGCUAAGAAGUUGUGUGUUCCCGACGAUAGCUACAAGAAAUCCAGAGGAUCAAUAUCCGGUUAUACGUCUUCCUCGUUGGGAGGUGAGGGCAAUGGAGGUGGAUCUGGUUCAUCUUCUUCGAGCCGUCCGAAACCCCGUGGCAGGGUUGGCUCUGAUUUGGAGGGCGAAGUAUCCUAUGACAGUCUAGUUUUUGCCCUCUCUUCUUUUUCUGAUUUUUAUUUGGUUUUGAUUUGA
This 771-nucleotide ribosomal RNA is filed under the name Triticum aestivum (bread wheat). RNAcentral's name for it is "partial small subunit ribosomal RNA". The record is from RNAcentral. Lineage: Eukaryota; Viridiplantae; Streptophyta; Magnoliopsida; Poales; Poaceae.